GGGUGAUUAGCUCAGCUGGGAGAGCACCUCCCUUACAAGGAGGGGGUCGGCGGUUCGAUCCCGUCAUCGCCCACCA
This 76-nucleotide transfer RNA is filed under the name Klebsiella aerogenes. RNAcentral's name for it is "tRNA-Val". It matches the Rfam family "tRNA". Rfam says of the family: Transfer RNA (tRNA) molecules are approximately 80 nucleotides in length. Their secondary structure includes four short double-helical elements and three loops (D, anti-codon, and T loops). Further hydrogen bonds mediate the characteristic L-shaped molecular structure. tRNAs have two regions of fundamental functional importance: the anti-codon, which is responsible for specific mRNA codon recognition, and the 3' end, to which the tRNAs corresponding amino acid is attached (by aminoacyl-tRNA synthetases). tRNAs cope with the degeneracy of the genetic code in two manners: having more than one tRNA (with a specific anti-codon) for a particular amino acid; and 'wobble' base-pairing, i.e. permitting non-standard base-pairing at the 3rd anti-codon position. The record is from RNAcentral. Lineage: Bacteria; Pseudomonadati; Pseudomonadota; Gammaproteobacteria; Enterobacterales; Enterobacteriaceae. RNAcentral also lists the same sequence under 7 other names.